Molecule: non-coding RNA, 24 nt
Filed under: Arabidopsis thaliana (thale cress)
Lineage: Eukaryota; Viridiplantae; Streptophyta; Magnoliopsida; Brassicales; Brassicaceae
Source: RNAcentral
CUGAGUUUAAGCAUAUCAAUAAGC